ACAGAUCAAGAGAAGAAUGGGGAUUGGAGCAAGGUUAUCAGAGAGAAGACUUAUCGAGGAUUUGGCUAGAAUGGGAAUGAACGAUUCAAUGGUACCUAAUACAAAAUCAAUUGCUUAGUUUUAUUCCUCAUCACCAAUAAGUGAUGUGGAUUUUGACUGUGUGUGAAUGUUAAAAAUGGCAGGUGAGGAGGGCUCUGUUGAUAAUGCAUCAGAGAGGUGAAGUUGAGUACCAGCGAGAGAGACGUUCCAUUGUCCGCAAAGCUUGAUCUUCUUCUUCGCUCACUAUCUCUCUUCUUUAGUCUCUCAGGAUCUUCAAAAAGACAGUAUUCAGUAUUGUUAAGUUAAUUUGGAGGAACAGAAACUUACGUCAUGUGUAUUUGAUGAAGAUCCUUUAGUAAACUUUUAUGCCCUCUUGAAACUAUUGUUUU
This 428-nucleotide long non-coding RNA is filed under the name Brassica napus (rape). RNAcentral's name for it is "long non-coding RNA (BNAP_LNC013689)". The record is from RNAcentral. Lineage: Eukaryota; Viridiplantae; Streptophyta; Magnoliopsida; Brassicales; Brassicaceae.